Molecule: unclassified non-coding RNA, 433 nt
Filed under: soil metagenome
Description: partial contains 5.8S ribosomal RNA, internal transcribed spacer 2, and large subunit ribosomal RNA
Rfam family: 5.8S ribosomal RNA (bases 1-120)
Source: RNAcentral
GAUGAAGAAUGCAGCGAAAUGCGAUACGUAAUGUGAAUUGCAGAAUUCAGUGAAUCAUCGAAUCUUUGAACGCAUAUUGCGCUCUCUGGUAUUCCGGAGAGCAUGCUUGUUUGAGUAUCAGUAAACACCUCAACUUCCAUAUCUUUUUUGAAAUGGGAGUUGGACUUGAGUGAUCCCAACGCUUUUCCUCACCGAAAAGUGGCGGGUUACUUGAAAUGCAGGUGCAGCUGGACUUUUCUCUGAGCUAUAAGCAUAUCUAUUUAGUCUGCCUAAAAAACAGAUUAUUACCUUUGCUGCAGCUAACAUAAAGGAGAUUAGUUCUUGUGCUGACUGAUGCAGGAUUCACAAAGACAGGCUUCGGCCGACUUUGUAAACUCGAUCUCAAAUCAAGUAAGACUACCCGCUGAACUUAAGCAUAUCAAUAAGCGGAGGA